This 253-nucleotide ribosomal RNA is filed under the name uncultured bacterium. RNAcentral's name for it is "partial 16S ribosomal RNA". It matches the Rfam family "Bacterial small subunit ribosomal RNA", at positions 524 to 776 of the family's 1533-position model. The record is from RNAcentral.
UACGAAGGGUGCAAGCGUUACUCGGAAUUACUGGGCGUAAAGCGUGCGUAGGUGGUUUGUUAAGUCUGCUGUGAAAGCCCCGGGCUCAACCUGGGAAUGGCAGUGGAUACUGGCAAGCUAGAGUGCGGUAGAGGGGUGUGGAAUUCCCGGUGUAGCGGUGAAAUGCGUAGAGAUCGGGAGGAACACCAGUGGCGAAGGCGGAUCUCUGGGCCAUUACUGACGCUGAGGAGCGAAAGCGUGGGGAGCGAACAGG